GACGAACGCUGGCGGCGUGCCUAAUACAUGCAAGUCGAACGAACUCUGGUAUUGAUUGGUGCUUGCAUCAUGAUCUACAUUUGAGUGAGUGGCGAACUGGUGAGUAACACGUGGGAAACCUGCCCAGAAGCGGGGGAUAACACCUGGAAACAGAUGCUAAUACCGCAUAACAACUUGGACCGCAUGGUCCGAGUUUGAAAGAUGGCUUCGGCUAGUC
This 217-nucleotide ribosomal RNA is filed under the name uncultured bacterium. RNAcentral's name for it is "partial 16S ribosomal RNA". It matches the Rfam family "Bacterial small subunit ribosomal RNA", at positions 28 to 223 of the family's 1533-position model. The record is from RNAcentral.